Molecule: ribosomal RNA, 280 nt
Filed under: Escherichia coli
Lineage: Bacteria; Pseudomonadati; Pseudomonadota; Gammaproteobacteria; Enterobacterales; Enterobacteriaceae
Description: partial 23S ribosomal RNA
Rfam family: Bacterial large subunit ribosomal RNA
Source: RNAcentral
UGAGGGGGGCUGCUCCUAGUACGAGAGGACCGGAGUGGACGCAUCACUGGUGUUCGGGUUGUCAUGCCAAUGGCACUGCCCGGUAGCUAAAUGCGGACGAGAUAAGUGCUGAAAGCAUCUAAGCACGAAACUUGCCCCGAGAUGAGUUCUCCCUGACUCCUUGAGAGUCCUGAAGGAACGUUGAAGACGACGACGUUGAUAGGCCGGGUGUGUAAGCGCAGCGAUGCGUUGAGCUAACCGGUACUAAUGAACCGUGAGGCUUAACCUUACAACGCCGAAG